AUGGUCGUAUUCAAACUAAACCAGGAAACAGGACAUGGUCGUAUUCAAACUAAACCAGAUACAGGAAACAGGAAACAGGACAUGGUCGUAUUCAAACUAAACCAGAUACAGGAAACAGGAAGCAGGACAUGGUCGUAUUCAAACUAAACCAGGAAACAGGAAACAGGACAUGGUCGUAUUCAUUAGGCACCAAACAGUGAAGGACAACCUGAACUUAUCCAGAAUGAAACACUCGAUUUCAUUACAAAGCAUUUUCUGUUGCAAAAACACUUUGCUACGGUUUCCUAGUGUGCACAACUGAAUAUACCACGGGACAGGGUCAUAUUCAUUAGGAAUCAAACAGAAUGAAUACACCACAGAACAGGGUCAUAUUCAUUAGGAAUCAAACAGAAUGAAUACACCACAGAACAGGUGAUUCAUUAGGAAUCAAACAGAAUGAAUACACCACAGAACAGGUGAUUCAUUAGGAAUCAAACAGAAUGAAUACACCACAGAACAGGGUCGUAUUCAUUAGGAAUCAAACAGAAUGAAUACACCACAGAACAGGUGAUUCAAUAGGAAUCAAACAGAAUGAACAGGGUCGUAUUCAUUAGGAAUCAAACAGGCUGAAACGAGGAGAGACUACCUGAACAUGUCUAAUAAGAAAACGCUCGUGUUCCGUUUGUGUAAAGCGUUUUUUCCCCCCGCUAAGGUGUGCUACUAAUGAACACGACCCGGGUGUGUGAAGAUGUGAAGUGGGAGGGACAUUAGACUGCACUACUUCCAUUAAAACAGCAGAGGGCGCCACAACAGUUCUACCAUUGGUUGGGGAAAAGGGCUGUCCAGCGUACGUAGUACACCUAUCAGUAUACACAGUAAUAUAGCGAUCAGGGUGGAGCUCCAUUUCAAUUCACUAAGUAAACCGAAUUCCAAAUGUUCUUUAUUGAAAGGCAUUGAUGACAGUUGGAACUGGAAUGUCAGUGAACAUUCUCAAUUGACUGGAAUUUAAAAAGUGAUUUUGACCCCCGACCCCUGGUAACCACUAACAAGAUAGAAAAGUGAUUGACCCCCAAUCCUGGUAACCUCUAACAUGAUAGAAAAGCAAUUUAUUUCUUUAACACAUUAAUUAAAACAUUAAUUUGCUACUGGAUCCAGGUAAUGUGUUUUCUGCGUCACCAUGUCUAGUCGUCCCCAUCUGAACUGUCAUACGUUGCUCUGUAUAAAAAGGUGUAUUGGAAUCAAGGCUGCAGGUGACCUUGAAGAAGUGGUUUCUCAUUCACAACGGAGAAAAGGAUCUAUUUGAAGUUCUAGUCAAAUCAGCUGUAACGAUACAAAGGUCGUCACUUAUUGAAAAAAAAAAAAAAAAACUUAUUGAAAAAAACUGAAGGCAAGACGUAGUGAAAAGAUGUAUUUAACAAACCAAAUGAAAAGGUCUCUUUCCUGUCCCUGUCCACAUAGAAGACAACACAUCAACAGAAAGAACUAAGCACAACAUUUUAAAUAUAUAUUAAAUAGAAAAGCAGAUCAAGAUGCACGUUUAAAAAAAAAACAUCCAUUCUUCUGCUGUGGGAAAAAAAAGGACAUUAUUAUAUUUUGUAUUUACACUACCUACAACCAGAUGAACUACUCCCCAAAUGGAGCCCUGUUCCCUAUAUAGUGCACUACUUUUAACCAGAGCUCUGAUGGGCAAAACCCUCUGUGGUUACUGUAGUAGUGCACUACUUUCAACCAGAGCUCUGAUUGGCUAAACCCUCUGUGGUUACUGUAGUAGUGCACUACUUUCAACCAGAGCCCUGAUUGGCUAAACCCUCUGUGGUUACUGUAGUAGUGCACUACUUUCAACCAGAGCUCUGAUUGGCUAAACCCUCUGUGGUUACUGUAGUAGUGCACUACUUUCAACCAGAGCUCUGAUUGGCUAAACCCUCUGUGGUUACUGUAGUAGUGCACUACUUUCAACCAGAGCUCUGAUUGGCUAAACCAUCUGUGGUUACUGUAGUAGUGCACUACUUUCAACCAGAGCUCUGAUUGGCUAAACCCUCUGUGGUUACUGUAGUAGUGCACUACUUUCAACCAGAGCUCUGAUUGGCUAAACCCUCUGUGGUUACUGUAGUAGUGCACUACUUUCAACCAGAGCUCUGAUUGGCUAAACCCUCUGUGGUUACUGUAGUAGUGCACUACGUAGGGAAUAGGGUGUCAUUUGGGACAAACUCACACUGACUCUUAAGACACAAACGUAUACCUGCGUGCACAUCCCCGUUUUGGAUGAAGGCUGUCGGACACAAUAAAAACAUUUAAAAGACCUCCUGAUCAAAUUAUAUUUUCAGUUGAACAAUAGUGUCUCAAUCCCAAAUGGCACCCUAUUCCCUAUAUAAGCGCAUUACUUGUUGACCAGAGCUCUACAUUGGUUUGUGAUCAAAACUAGUGGACUAAUUCAGGAACUGGGUGUCAUUUGGGAUUCAGACAGUUUCUACGAGACCCACUCUGUUUCCAUUUCAUCAACAUCAACAGGGGAAGGUUCCCAGACCCUGAUUAACGGUUCCUAUUUUCACAGCGCAAAAAAAAAAAAAACAUUGUGGAAAAUUUAAAAAAAAUGACAGUAAACCUCAUUAUAAUCUCACAGUGAGAUUUAAUUUGAAAACUUUUCUUCAACAAUACGCGUUAUAAAAGAGGCGAUUGCCUCACCAGAGUUCAGUAAACGGAGCGAUGCCUUAACAGACGUCUCUUUAUAAACACACAUCGUUGAAGAAAUGUGUUAAAUGAAAUCCAACUAACCAGAUUUUAACCGUACAUUUUUGCACAUUGCUUUUGCACUAUAAAAAUGUGGCUCUAAUGCGGUUAUUGAUGAGAAUACAUCUCAAUUUAGCAUCUGUGUCCAGACUGAGUCGUUUCUUCCUAAAAAUCAGACUGGUCAGUUAACUGGAUCUGUGUCCAGAGUGAGUUGUUCCUUCUAAAAUCAGACUGGAUAGUUAACCGGAUCCGUGUCCAGAGUGAGUCGUUUCUUCCUAAAAAUCAGACUGGUCAGUUAACUGGAUCUGUGUCCAGAGUGAGUCGUUUCUUCCUAAAAUCAGACUGGUCAGUUAACCGGUGCCAUCAACACUACAGUAUUACCUCAAUACACCCUCCUGUUUAAAGAUGUUAUCUAGACACCUAGUAGCGUUGCACAAACUCCGUAAACCUUCU
Molecule: long non-coding RNA, 3159 nt
Filed under: Oncorhynchus mykiss (rainbow trout)
Lineage: Eukaryota; Metazoa; Chordata; Actinopteri; Salmoniformes; Salmonidae
Description: lncRNA (ENSOMYG00000076890.1)
Source: RNAcentral